Molecule: transfer RNA, 73 nt
Filed under: Mus musculus (house mouse)
Lineage: Eukaryota; Metazoa; Chordata; Mammalia; Rodentia; Muridae
Rfam family: tRNA
About the family: Transfer RNA (tRNA) molecules are approximately 80 nucleotides in length.
Source: Rfam by way of RNAcentral
GGAGAGAAGGCUCAGCAGUUAAGAGCACUGGCUGCUCUUCCAGAGGACCUGGGUUCGAGUCCCAGCCCCUACA